GCGUCAGUGGUGUAGUGGUAGCAAGCGCCUCCGUCAAGGGCGAAACGCGGGUUCAAUUCCCGGCUGGAGUA
Non-coding RNA from Parelaphostrongylus tenuis, 71 nucleotides. The record is from the annotation of a GenBank genome assembly. NCBI's taxonomy places the organism in Eukaryota, Metazoa, Nematoda, Chromadorea, Rhabditida, Metastrongylidae.